RNAcentral lists this unclassified non-coding RNA (279 nucleotides) under uncultured fungus. RNAcentral describes it as "partial contains small subunit ribosomal RNA, internal transcribed spacer 1, and 5.8S ribosomal RNA". The stretch from base 1 to 73 matches the Rfam family "Eukaryotic small subunit ribosomal RNA", at positions 1759 to 1831 of the family's 1831-position model. Lineage: Eukaryota; Fungi. The record is from RNAcentral.
ACAAACUUGGUCAUUUAGAGGAAGUAAAAGUCGUAACAAGGUUUCCGUAGGUGAACCUGCGGAAGGAUCAUUACCGAGUUUAGGGCCUUAUUGGCCUGACCUCCAACCCCUUGUGUACUACAAUGUGUUUUGUUGCUUCCGGUGGGCAUAAAAUGCCCACCGGGAGCCCUACAACAAAAAUCUCUUUUGGGGAAUAGUAUUUGUCUGAGUUGUCAAAAGUAAUCAAUUAAAACUUUCAACAACGGAUCUCUUGGUUCCCGCAUCGAUGAAGAACGCAGC